ACAGGAUCUGUCUGCGGGUGGAGGGCCACCUCUCUGUGGCCUAUCCCUGGCCUCCCUGGUUCAGUUCCCAAGGACAAGGGGCAAAGGCAUCAAUGACCCUAGGGGAGACUCAGGCUAUUUUUGACCUUUCUUUCAGGCUGGUCAACUAUAGGCAAGAGCCUCUCAAACUUCUGAUGAGCAUCAACGGAGAGACGAAGAGGCUCAGGGAAGCCCAGGGAGCUUGGACUUUAUCCUGAAGACGACAAACAGCUGAAGGAAGGAGGGGCACGGUCAGAUGGGCGUUCUGGAGGCAACUCCGGGCUCAGUGGAGAUCUAGCUCAGGUGCCACCAUCUCACAGUGACCUUCCCUGACUGUGUUGAACAACCCUGACUCCGGUGGACCUCUGGUCUCCCCCUCACUCUUGGAUGCACACAUGUGUGCCCCACAGCGUCCUUCCUUUGGUCCUGCUUCAGCCGCUCCCCACACAGUCCCUUGGCUCUUACAACCACGUUAACAACAUUGGAGGACAGAUGGAGCCGGUUGUCAGGAGCCUGAAGGAAGGCCCCAGCUCUGCUCUACGCGUGACCUUGGGCAAGUCCCUUAACUUCGCUGAGCCUCUGUAAAAUGGGGUUACCAAUGGUACCGACCUCAUAGGGAGUCUUGAUGUUCAUAAAAGUGCUGACGGUGGUGGAGGAAGGGGAACAUGGUGCAGGAGACCAAGCAGGAGCAGCAGCGAGAGAGGAGGAGGUGGCGGCCAGGACAGUGCCACGACCUGAAAGCAAGGAAGAAAGGGGGAACCGACUCUGCCAGCAACCUGAACAACCCUGGAAGCAGGUUCUUCCCCAGCCGCGCCAGACAAGAGCCUGGGCCUUGAGUUCAGCCUUGGGAGAUGCCGAGAACCCCAACUUCUGAACUACGGAACCUCUGGACUGGACAGGAAACAUCAUACGAAUUUGAGGCUGGAUUGAGGGGCAUUCAGGACCUCCCAGGCAUGAGGAGGAAGCAACAUGUCACGGAGGUGCAGGCGCGCAGGGGCCCACGCUCAGGGAUGCUUAGUCUCGUGCUCUGCUGUUGCUGCCUUGCAAUCUUGAUGACUCUGAACACAGGGCUUGCAUUUUCAUUUUGCACCAGGCAAUAUACGGAGGCACCCAGCUAUCUCCCCUAGCCAGAAUCUCAGCAGAGAGGCGGUGAGCACACCCAUGUUCCCGGCGGAACCUGGGGCGCCUCCAACACGGGGACCUGGCUGGAAUGCACGCCGUCCCAGCCGCAGGCAAGGCUCUGGUGAGAUGCUCUGUUGCAGAGGAGCACAACUUGCCCUCCAAGCAGUUCUAUCUGCUUUUCAGACCCCACCCACCUGUUUUCCUAAAAAGCAGCCGCAGCACGGAGCUGUUAAGUACCUGUGAGCCAUGGGGGUGGGGUGGGGGGGCUCAGCGGUGUCCUCAGAGUCCAGCACACUCAAGGCCACAUGUUCAGUGGGUGCCCCAGGAGUGUCUUUAAGUGAAAACAGAACAUAGACUGGACUCAGAAGAGAUGACGUUCUUGCCCAAGGCCACGAGCCAGGAAGCAGCCUACCUGGGUCAGUGGACUCCGAGUCAAGUGCUCACCCCUUGGCUACACCACGUCUGGGAGCCAGGGGACCAGGGUGCAGGUGAUGGACAAGGUUGCAGGUUGGGAGGUGACCAUUGCCCCGUCCAGGGGCCACUUGAGUGGAAAUGGCCCUUGUAAACUGGCGGAGGUUGCAGACACGGUGGGUACCCUGCUUGGGCCCCCCUCUCUGGCCACUCCAUACACGCCUUGACCCUCCUUUUCUGUUUUGCUCCCCUUCCCCCCCUGCCCCCGGCCAGGUUUUGUGCCCUCCCUCCCCACAUACACCGUGUAAACUCGAAACCUAGUUGGCACCAGGGAGAUCCAAAGGAAGAACCACGGCCUCAUUUCUUUGGGGCUACCUUCUCCUGGGGCCUCCCUGCAGCCCCCCCACCCCGGUGUUGUCAGUUGUAUGGUUUCCCGGGGCCAGGAAGUGGGGGGCCGAGGCUGCUGGCUAUCACAGAAACUGUUUCCCCUUCCUCCUGGGAACAGAGCCAGAAAACAUUUCCCAGCCCGGCUGAAGUGACAAGAGGCCGGGGACCGAGGGCUAGAGGACAGCACGUGAGGAGGAGUGUCUGACACUUCCAGGUCCAGGGGUAGAAUGUUCCAUGUGUCACUUUUCAUGCCAUCUCUGCUUGCAUCUCAGUGCGCAUGCGGCGGGGAUGCGUGGUGGCCGGGCCACCUGCAGACACGGGUCUGUGGGUCCCUGGGUCCCUGAACCACCUCUGGGCAGAGAGCCGCAUGUCGAUGAAGAGUAGCGGCUGCGUGUGGAUUUUCAAGAGCAGGGAACACACUAUUGUGUGUGAGCCUUUGUGUGUUUUGGGAUAUGUUACGGCAACAACUAUUGACUAAUUCAGAGGACGAGAGGCUAGGCCUGGGAGGUGGGCCCUGACCCUGUCUUUCGCUGUCUGAGGGCCAUGAGCAAGUCCUUAAUUUAAUUUCUAGGGAGCUGAGGCCCAGAAUCACAGAAAGGGCGUUCAAAUCCUGAUUCCAAACCCACUCGACAGUUUGCAGGAGGACUCCAGGUCUUUCUAACGGCUUCUCUCCCUCCAAAUGUCCUUGUCCCGGUUGCCAACCUCCUUGGGGCUCUGCUGUGACCUCAAAGUUGCUGAGAAUCGGUCUGUGUCACUGCUAAUGGCCAGGACCUGCUCUUGGGAGCAAGGACCUGGAUGCCUCUCUGUGCUCCUGAGGAUGUUUUAGGGGCUGAUGCCAGCAAGUGGGGAGAUGUCUGGGUCGAUCUCAUCUUUAGGCUACAUUCUGGUCCCCAGGGCAGCCUCCCACUGCCCCAACUUGACAAAGAAGCAGCCCCUAGUCCCGUCUCUGCAUGGUAGGGUCUAAGGGGUGCAGACUCACUUAUUCCUCUAGUUGGGGGGCUAGAAAUGCCCCCUUGACCUGAGGGACAUGUUAGUGUACCAAUCAGGGGGCCCUACAAGUAGGAUUUUUUGGAAAGAAAAAGACAAGAUGUACAUACAGCUCGAUACGAAUUUCUGAUAAACAGCAAGGAAUUGUGUAGCGUAAGUGUGUCCCACGCCGCAUUUAGGACAUACUCCUGCUAAAAGUAUUUGUUGCUUAUGUGAAACUCAAAGGGAAGCUGAUGACCCCAACUGCAAAACUCCGCAGGCACAAGUGUAAGAUAAGUAAAGAGAAGGGAAAAAAAAAAAAAAGUAAAGAGAAGGAA
Long non-coding RNA from Canis lupus familiaris (dog), 3242 nucleotides. RefSeq lists it as uncharacterized. The record is from RefSeq and is a predicted model, not a curated record. The transcript is spliced from 8 exons. NCBI's taxonomy places the organism in Eukaryota, Metazoa, Chordata, Mammalia, Carnivora, Canidae.